CCUACGUGAGGCAGCAGUGAGGAAUAUUGCUCAAUGGUCGAAAGACUGAAGCAGCCAAGUAGCGUGGAGGAUGACGGUUUUCGGAUUGGUAACUCCUUUUGAUAGGGAAGUAAAAGACGUUAUCUGACGAAUAAGCACCGGCUAACUCCGUGCCAGCAGCCGCGGUAACACGGAGGGAGCAGGCGUUACUCGGAAUCACUGGGCGUAAAGCGGGCGUAGGCGGGAUAGCAAGUGUGAGGUGAAAUCCUAUGGCUUAACCAUAGAACUGCAGUUGAAACUGGUAUUCUAGAGUAUGGGAGAGGUAGGUGGAAUUCGUGGUGUAGGGGUAAAAUCCGUAGAGAUCACGAAGAAUACUCAUUGCGAAGGCGACCUGCUAGAACAUUACUGACGCUGAUGCGCGAAAGCGUGGGUAGCAAACAGGAUUAGAUACCCGUGUAGUC
RNAcentral lists this ribosomal RNA (440 nucleotides) under uncultured bacterium. RNAcentral describes it as "partial 16S ribosomal RNA". It matches the Rfam family "Bacterial small subunit ribosomal RNA", at positions 338 to 795 of the family's 1533-position model. The record is from RNAcentral.